AACGAACGCUGGCGGCAGGCCUAACACAUGCAAGUCGAACGCACCGCCAGGGGAGUGGCUGAUGGGUGAGUAACGCCUGGGAAUCUACUCACACCUACGGAAUAUAGCUUGGAGACUUGUGCUACUUCCGUAAACCCUCUCUGGGGGCAAGUUUUAUGGGGGAUGGCUGAGCUCGCGUUGGAUUAGCGGGCUGGCGGGGUAAUGUCCUUCCAUGGCGACGACGCAUAGCUGGUCUGAGAGGAUGAUCAGCCACAUUGGGCCUGAGACACGGCCCAAACUCCUACGGGAGGCAGCAGUGGGGAAUAUUGGACAAUGGGCGCAGGCCUGAUCCAGCCAGGCCGCGUGAGUGAUGAAAUCCUUAGGGUUGUAAAGCUCUUUCACCGGAGAAGAUAAUGACGGUAUCCGGAGAAGAAGCCCCGGCUAACUUCGUG
RNAcentral lists this ribosomal RNA (431 nucleotides) under uncultured bacterium. RNAcentral's name for it is "partial 16S ribosomal RNA". It matches the Rfam family "Bacterial small subunit ribosomal RNA", at positions 29 to 507 of the family's 1533-position model. The record is from RNAcentral.